RNAcentral lists this ribosomal RNA (253 nucleotides) under uncultured bacterium. RNAcentral's name for it is "partial 16S ribosomal RNA". It matches the Rfam family "Bacterial small subunit ribosomal RNA", at positions 524 to 776 of the family's 1533-position model. The record is from RNAcentral.
UACAUGGGGUGCAAACGUUGCUCGGAAUUAUUGGGCGUAAAGCGCGCGUAGGCGGUUACUCAAGUCGGAUGUGAAAGCCCUCGGCUUAACUGAGGAAGUGCACCCGAAACUGAGUAGCUAGAGUACUAAAGAGGGUCGCGGAAUUCCCGGUGUAGAGGUGAAAUUCGUAGAUAUGGGGAGGAACACCGGUGGCGAAGGCGGCCAUCUGGACGGAUACUGACGCUGAGACGCGAAAGCGUGGGUAGCAAACAGG